RNAcentral lists this ribosomal RNA (512 nucleotides) under uncultured bacterium. RNAcentral's name for it is "partial 16S ribosomal RNA". The record is from RNAcentral.
GGAGUUAGCCGGUGCUUCUUCUGCGAGUAACGUCACAGAUGUAAGGUAUUAACUUACACCCUUUCCUCCUCGCUGAAAGUGCUUUACAACCCGAAGGCCUUCUUCACACACGCGGCAUGGCUGCAUCAGGGUUUCCCCCAUUGUGCAAUAUUCCCCACUGCUGCCUCCCGUAGGAGUCUGGGCCGUGUCUCAGUCCCAGUGUGGCUGAUCAUCCUCUCAGACCAGCUAGGGAUCGUCGCCUAGGUGAGCCUUUACCUCACCUACUAGCUAAUCCCACCUGGGCUUAUCCAUCAGCGCAAGGCCCGAAGGUCCCCUGCUUUCCCCCGUAGGGCGUAUGCGGUAUUAGCAGUCGUUUCCAACUGUUAUCCCCCACAAAUGGGCAAAUUCCCAGGCAUUACUCACCCGUCCGCCGCUCGUCAUCUUCAAAAGCAAAGCUUUUGAAAUGUUACCGCUCGACUUGCAUGUGUUAGGCCUGCCGCCAGCGUUCAAUCUGAGCCAUGAUCAAACUCUGA